Misgurnus anguillicaudatus (oriental weatherfish) is the source of this 70-nucleotide small nucleolar RNA. The record is from RefSeq and is a predicted model, not a curated record. Lineage: Eukaryota; Metazoa; Chordata; Actinopteri; Cypriniformes; Cobitidae.
UUGGAUGUGACGAUAUCAUUAAUCUUGAGACGCAUCUAUGAUGUUCAUGUAUUCAUACUGUCUGAUCCAA